RNAcentral lists this ribosomal RNA (345 nucleotides) under uncultured Symbiodinium. RNAcentral describes it as "partial Bacterial small subunit ribosomal RNA". It matches the Rfam family "Bacterial small subunit ribosomal RNA", at positions 463 to 807 of the family's 1533-position model. Lineage: Eukaryota; Dinophyceae; Suessiales; Symbiodiniaceae. The record is from RNAcentral.
AAGAUAAUGACGGUACCCGCAGAAGAAGCCCCGGCUAACUCCGUGCCAGCAGCCGCGGUAAUACGGAGGGUGCAAGCGUUGUCCGGAUUUAUUGGGUUUAAAGGGUGCGUAGGUGGGCCUUUAAGUCAGUGGUGAAAGCCCAUCGCUCAACGAUGGAAUUGCCAUUGAUACUGGAGGCCUUGAGUUCAGUUGAGGUAGGCGGAAUUUAUGGUGUAGCGGUGAAAUGCAUAGAUACCAUAAGGAACUCCGAUAGCGAAGGCAGCUUACUAAACUGUUACUGACACUGAGGUACGAAAGCAUGGGGAGCGAACAGGAUUAGAUACCCUGGUAGUCCAUGCCGUAAAC